Molecule: non-coding RNA, 102 nt
Organism: Xylogone sp. PMI_703
Lineage: Eukaryota; Fungi; Ascomycota; Leotiomycetes
Source: the annotation of a GenBank genome assembly
GGCAACUUGUCCGAGUGGUCUAAGGAGCUAGAUUUAGGUCAAUUCUUGAAUUGUUCAAAACUCUAGUCUGCAAAGGCGUGGGUUCGAAUCCCACAGUUGUCA